GACGAACGCUGGCGGCGUGCUUAACACAUGCAAGUCGAACGGAAAGGCCUGCUUUCCCUUGUGGAUUGCGGGUACUCGAGUGGCGAACGGGUGAGUAACACGUGAGUGAUCUGCCCCCAACUUGGGUAUAAGCCUGGGAAACUGGGUCUAAUUCCCGAUAGGACUGCAGGGUGGUGCCCGUGGUGGAAAACGAUUUUCUAGUGGUUGGGGAUGAGCUCGCGGCCUAUCAGCUUGUUGGUGGGGUAAUGGCCGACCAAGGCGGCGACGGGUAGCCGGCCUGGGAGCGUGGACGGCCACAUUGGGACUGGGAUACGGCCCAGACGCCUACGGGAGGCAGCAGUGGGGAAUAUUGCACAAUGGGCGGAAGCCUGAUGCAGCGACGCCGCGUGGGGGAUGACGGCCUUCGGGUUGUAAACUCCUUUCGACCGCGAGGAAGCCACCUGGUUGGAAGGGUGGUGACGGUAGUGGUAGAAGAAGCACCGGCUAACUACGUG
RNAcentral lists this ribosomal RNA (494 nucleotides) under uncultured bacterium. RNAcentral describes it as "partial 16S ribosomal RNA". It matches the Rfam family "Bacterial small subunit ribosomal RNA", at positions 28 to 507 of the family's 1533-position model. The record is from RNAcentral.